This is a small nucleolar RNA of Mesocricetus auratus (golden hamster), 79 nucleotides long. Its record names the gene SNORD115. It matches the Rfam family "Small nucleolar RNA SNORD115". Rfam says of the family: HBII-52 is a member of the C/D class of snoRNAs, which contain the C (UGAUGA) and D (CUGA) box motifs. HBII-52 is encoded in a tandemly repeated array with another C/D snoRNA, HBII-85, in the Prader-Willi syndrome (PWS) region of chromosome 15. The record is from Ensembl. Lineage: Eukaryota; Metazoa; Chordata; Mammalia; Rodentia; Cricetidae.
GAGUCUAUGAUGACAAACCAAUAUCAUGAAGAGAGGUGAUGUCAUAAAUAUCAUGUUCAGUAUGGUUCUGCUGUGGCCC